Molecule: long non-coding RNA, 381 nt
Filed under: Homo sapiens (human)
Lineage: Eukaryota; Metazoa; Chordata; Mammalia; Primates; Hominidae
Description: long non-coding RNA NONHSAT124637.2
Source: RNAcentral
GGGCCUCUGAAGAGCACCGGCAGCUUCCUUCUUAGCAGAGGAGAAAAUCUCUGCCAUCUCGUGCUCGCCUACCUCGACUCGCCAGACGCCCUGGAGCAGAGGAGGAGCAGUGGUCGGCAGCGGCCAGCCGUGCAGGUGCCACACCUGAUGGUCCACCUGGGAGAACCAGGCAGGAAGCCGGAAAGAGUCGCAGUGCACGCUCUGCGGGGAGCCGGAAGAUACAGACAGCCCAACUAAAUCCUUGAAAUGCAGCGUGGCGUGAAAAUGGAGCGGCAUUUUAGUUAACGAGGGUCUGGAUGCCAUUCACAGGAAUGCAGUUUCUACAGGGUUCUGCUUUGCAGAGACCUCUCCUGAUAAUAAUAAUAAAUUUACUCAGAACAA